GAGGACCUCUGGCGGCGUGCUUAACACAUGCAAGUCGAACGAAACACCUUAUUUGAUUUUCUUCGGAACUGAAGAUUUGGUGAUUGAGUGGCGGACGGGUGAGUAACGCGUGGGUAACCUACCCUGUACAGGGGGAUAACAGUCAGAAAUGACUGCUAAUACCGCAUAAGACCACAGCACCGCAUGGUGCAGGGGUAAAAACUCCGGUGGUACAGGAUGGACCCGCGUCUGAUUAGCUGGUUGGUGAGGUAACGGCUCACCAAGGCGACGAUCAGUAGCCGGCUUGAGAGAGUGAACGGCCACAUUGGGACUGAGACACGGCCCAAACUCCUACGGGAGGCAGCAGUGGGGAAUAUUGCACAAUGGGGGAAACCCUGAUGCAGCGACGCCGCGUGAGUGAAGAAGUAUCUCGGUAUGUAAAGCUCUAUCAGCAGGGAAGAAAAUGACGGUACCUGACUAAGAAGCCCCGGCUAACUACGUGCCAGCAGCCGCGGUAAUACGUAGGGGGCAAGCGUUAUUCGGAAUUACUGGGUGUAAAGGGUGCGUAGGUGGUAUGGCAAGUCAGAAGUGAAAACCCAGGGCUUAACUCUGGGACUGCUUUUGAAACUGUCAGACUGGAGUGCAGGAGAGGUAAGCGGAAUUCCUAGUGUAGCGGUGAAAUGCGUAGAUAUUAGGAGGAACAUCAGUGGCGAAGGCGGCCUACUGGGCACCAACUGACGCUGAGGCUCGAAAGUGUGGGUAGCAAACAGGAUUAGAUACCCUGGUAGUCCACACUGUAA
RNAcentral lists this ribosomal RNA (779 nucleotides) under uncultured bacterium. Its description in RNAcentral is "bacterial SSU rRNA". It matches the Rfam family "Bacterial small subunit ribosomal RNA", at positions 28 to 805 of the family's 1533-position model. The record is from RNAcentral.